UUUUCACUUUUAUAAAUUUCAUGUUUAUUCGUAUAUACAUGAAUAUAUUAAUCUAUAACCAAGAAAGGAGAGAAUGUACAAUGCAAAACAAAAUCUCUAUAUACAAAUCAAUAAAUAAACAAAGACAUGAUGGAGGAUGGUCGGUUUUCUACACAGGUUUCAUGUUCGGAGGGAAGAAAGAAAAAAACAAAGACUGCAGUUAGAAAAAGUUCUGAAUCCUUUAAAACGGGGGAAAUGGCACCGAAGCACAGAAAGAAUAAAAACACACCACGCCAGCUGGUUUCCACUGUAUUUUUUUCUUCUUCUUCUUGUAAACGCAGCCUUUAUUCUUUUUUUUUGUUCAAACUCGCACAGAAUCAGGUCAAAUCACAAAAAGUUUUUUUUUUUUGUCAACACGGGCUACGACGACACACAUCAACGCUCGCAGGUCACAGAUUCACCUCAAGAUCCACUCAGAGUUUAGUUCAGAGCUUUAGAGGCGAAGCUGCUGCAGAAACUAGAACCGGUUUUUAAUUUUAGAAACACUUCAGUUCCAAACAGUCCAGAGGAGGAGCUGACGGUGCGUUCAGGGUACGGUGGGAAACGUGAAAGCCCGAUAAAUCUCUCAAGUUAAACAUUUGCUCCCACAAACGCUCUUUUCUAUUAAGAUUUAUGUCAUCAGAAGGCCUUUAUCUUUUACAAAAUGCACCUUUUUCAGGUAAAAACAUAAAUGUGCUCCCUUUUGAUUAAUUCGCUGCAACAUUUCAAGUCAGUGUUUAGAGAUUUUAACCCGUUUAGAUGGUUUUUAAUCAGGUCCAAACCCUCUGAACCCCCAAAAAACAGCGGGAUUUUUGGGUUAUAUUUAAAUAAAAUGAGCCACGUUUGCUCACAUUAGCAUGUCCUGCUAACUAGCAUGCUACAUAAAUCAGUGCAGGCUAACGCUAGCAGCUACGUCCUGCGUUUUGUUGGAUUUAAGGUAACUUACGAUGCUGCAGCUGCUAUUUAAAGAUGUUUUUUGGGUUAAAUUUAAAUAAAAUGAGCCACAUUUGCUCAUGUUAGCAUAUCCUGCUAACUAGCAUGCUACUUAAAUCAGUGUAGGAUAACGUUAAGGUCUGAAAAGACAUCAUUCCACCAUUUGUCAGAUCCAAAAACUGUAAGAAACAGAACAAACUGUGUGAUUUUCAACUCUCCUUCGACUUAACUGUAACUUUCCGUUCUAUAGAAGUGUGAUAUUAGAUCCAAAAUCACGUUAUUCCACGUGUCUCAUUUAAAAAUUGGUCAAAAAUAAACUGUUUAUUUUAAACAGAUUCUGUGAAAAAUGCAAAAAUUUUACGCUCCUUGAUGCAACUGAAAAGCCAAAACUGACUCAGCUGUGAUUAACAGUUGCGUGCUAAAAAUUCUGUGAUUUUUCAAGAGAUCUGCAUCAAAACCAAAGCUACUGGAUGAAUCAAAUAAAUGCAGCAUGGCUCAGAAACAGUGAACAGAGGAGCAGGUUGUUGGAGAUACAUUCAGCAUGGUGAAACAUCUUUCUAUUGAUGAUGAACAGAGACUCAAAACUGGACUAAAUAUGGACCAAAGUGACAAAAAAACUUGUCCACAGUUACUCAAAUUGCCCAGAAUCACUUCAAAAUUACUUGAAAUUAGUUGCAAAGGAGGAUUUCUUGACAGUUUUUUAAGUUUUGAGUAAGUGAAACAUCUUUGUACAGCUGAUGAGCAGAGCAGAGAGAAAAAGUCUGCCUGGAGUUCAGAGGGUUGAAGUUAAUCAAGUAAUAGUCUGACAGCAGAUUUGCUGAAAUCAAGAUACAGAAACUAUAGUUUACAGACUGUGAUGCAUUUAAGGUCCUGUUGCAUGAGUAGGAAAUCUGAAAACAACUGUGGAUAUUUUUAACAGAGGAACACUGGUGUAAUUAUGGUUUAAAAUGGUUUGAUUAACACUCAAUAUUUUGACUGUUUUUGCAACUAUAUUAAAUAUUUUGGGUACAAAUUACUUUGGUGCAUGGAAACAAAUUUCCACCACAAAAAAUAAUAAAAUAAGAGCAGUUAUUACGGUCAAAUUUAAUUAUAUAUUUUAGACAUAAUAUUUAAUAUAAUUUAAAUAUUUUGAAGGCUUCUUGUGAUCUAAAAUGGUUUAAUUAACACUGAAUAUUUAGAUUUUAUUUUAUUUUUUUUUGCAAUUGUUUAAACAUUUUGGGUAAAAACAAUUUUGGUGUAUAGGAACAAAUUUCCACCCAAAAAACAACAACAAAAAAAAGCUGUGCAAUUAUUAAAGUUAAAUUUAACUAUAAGUAAUACCUUGGAUAAAAUAUUACAUAUAGUUACAUUUUUUAAAUAUUCUGAAUAUUUUGGAGCGUUUUAAACAGAGAAAAUGUUUAACUCAUUGAAUAUUUUGAUGUUUUUGUAUUUUUUAAAGACAUUUAGGGUGAAAUUCACCUUUAGAGAGCUUGAUAAGGUCCAUUAAAGCAAAUUUCCACCAGAAAAAGAAAUAAUUUGAAGCAAAAUCGGUGCAAUUAUUAAAAAAUAGUUUGGGGUAAAUGUUGAGCAUUAAAGGGAGGAGAUGUAUCGAGCAACAUUCACUGUCGACUACAUUUCCUCGGCUCUGAAAUGUUGGGAAAAUGGUCUUAAAAUUCUCCUCAGACGUGGUGUUUGGUUGGAGAUGAAGUUCCUGCAGCAGCUUCUCACCGACAUGUUUCCACCAGAAAAACAACAGUAAACAUACAAACUUGGUAUUUUUUCCCACCGUGGAAGGCGGAGGACUCAACCUUUUGCGUUAUUUUUGGCACAUGAAGGGUGGAGCCUUCGCUGGUCGCCGACAUGGAUGGUCGCCAUGGAGACGGAGGGGAUGAAGUUCACAGUGUUGGACGACUGACAGCUCACAGUGUUCAACAGCCGGGACGCUUUGACGACACGACGACGAGCUUCCUGCUGCUGCUCUUCACCGUAUCGCUCUCACAGGUGGGUUUAGUUUCUUUCUUUUUUAAAGUUUGGGGCUUCAUUCAUUCAUUCAUUCAUUUGAUCGUCAUGGUAACUUCAUGCAGAUGAAAUAAAAAAAAAACAGCAAAAGAAGGCAACACAUGGUCGCAGUGACAGCAGGAACUCAGCGUUCUGAUGCGGCGAUAUGAACACGAGGAAAAACCCAACCUCAGAUGUUCAGUGUUUCUAGCGUGAAGCCGUUUUCCCUUAAUUAGUGAUUCACUACGUUUCCCAGAAUGCCAAGCAGCAAACCACAACACAAAGAUAAUCAGUUUACUGUCUUAAAGGAGGAUAAAAAAGGCAUAAAAAUUCAAAUUUAAGAAUCUUGAAUCAGUGAAUCUUGAUUUUUUUCAUAAAAAAUAACUCAAACCAAUGAAUUUAUGAUCAGAAUAGUUGGCAGCGGGUCAAAUAAACGAACCAGAAGCUGCUUUUUGGGCUAAAAUGUUGCAGAAAUUGCAAAAAAUUGGAAAAAUAUGCACCUCUGAGGCUUCGCUGCCGGUCAGUUUAAGUCCAGAAAACAAACCUUUAACGUCUACGGUUAGUUAUUAGGAAUAAAACAAACGUGACGGUAAACAGCCGUCUAAAAGGCGUCCAGGUUGGAUUUUUCCUGUAAACAAACAGAGCAGGAAGAGAAGAGUUUGUUUCUUUAGCGUGCGGUUUGGCAGCUUCACCGUCGUUCAUCCAGAACAACAGAUUUCUGGAGCUUUCAGCUUUUUAACGGUUUUAAAACUGGAAAUCGUCGCCUGCUGGAGGAGCAACUCUGCUGCCGACACACAAACCAGAGAAGAAGAAAACGUGUGGACAGAAGCUACAGAUGGAGAUGAAGGACGAGCCGCCGUGUCGGAGGAAACAGGAAACCAGGCGAGCAGCGGCAGGACAAAUCUGACACAAUACCCACUAAUUUAUUGUUUAAAGAACGUAUCCCAGAGCUGGAACACAAACGAUAUAAAUAAACUGCUGGAUGAGAGCAGUAGGCCAGCCUUCACUGCUGCUAAUGAGUCAACUACUAGAGUCUAAAAUGGUCAGAAUGCUGCUUUAAUGAGGCUUUUUUCAAAUAAAAACAUCUAAUUAACACUGAAUAUUUUGACUUCUCUGCAAUUAUUUUAAAUAAUUGGGGUAGGAUCCAUUUUUAGAAAUCUUAAAAAGGUGCAUAGAUGUAAAUUUCCACUAGAUAAAGAGAAUAUUUAAAGAAAUAUCUGUGCAGUGAAGAUAUUAAGAUCAAAUUUAACUAUACUGGACAUAAUAUUUAAUCGAAUUAAAAUAUUUUGGAGCGAAUCUCAAAUGGUUUAACACUGAAUAUUUAGAUUUUUUUUGCAAUUAUUU
Molecule: long non-coding RNA, 4272 nt
Organism: Amphiprion ocellaris (clown anemonefish)
Lineage: Eukaryota; Metazoa; Chordata; Actinopteri; Pomacentridae
Source: Ensembl